This 21-nucleotide microRNA is filed under the name Bombyx mori (domestic silkworm). RNAcentral describes it as "bmo-miR-3262". The record is from miRBase by way of RNAcentral. Lineage: Eukaryota; Metazoa; Arthropoda; Insecta; Lepidoptera; Bombycidae.
GGGCUCGGAAUAGUGUCAAGA